UGGGGAAUCUUGGACAAUGGGCGCAAGCCUGAUCCAGCCAUGCCGCGUGCAGGAAGAAGGCGUUAUGCGUUGUAAACUGCUUUUUGCCAGGGGAUAAAAAGACCGUGCGCGGUUAAUUGAAGGUACCUGGUGAAUAAGCCACGGCUAACUACGUGCCAGCAGCCGCGGUAAUACGUAGGGACCAAGCGUUGUUCGGAUUUACUGGGCGUAAAGGGCGCGUAGGCGGCGCGGUAAGUCACUUGUGAAAUCUCUGAGCUUAACUCAGAACGGCCAAGUGAUACUGCAGUGCUAGAGUGCAGAAGGGGCAAUCGGAAUUCUUGGUGUAGCGGUGAAAUGCGUAGAUAUCAAGAGGAACACCUGAGGUGAAGACGGGUUGCUGGGCUGACACUGACGCUGAGGCGCGAAAGCCAGGGGAGCAAACGGGAUUAGAUACCCCUGUAGUCCCUGAGCGGGCUGGCAAGGCGCAU
Molecule: ribosomal RNA, 467 nt
Filed under: uncultured bacterium
Lineage: Bacteria
Description: bacterial SSU rRNA
Rfam family: Bacterial small subunit ribosomal RNA
Source: RNAcentral